ACUCCUACGGAGGCAGCAGUGGGAAUCUUGGACAAUGGGCGCAAGCCUGAUCCAGCCAUGCCGCGUGAGUGAUGAAGGCCUUAGGGUCGUAAAGCUCUUUCGCCAGGGAUGAUAAUGACAGUACCUGGUAAAGAAACCCGCCGUAUACUCCGUGCCAGCAGCCGCGGUAAUACGGAGGGGGUUAGCGUUGUUCGGAAUUACUGGGCGUAAAGCGCACGUAGGCGGAUU
This 228-nucleotide ribosomal RNA is filed under the name uncultured bacterium. Its description in RNAcentral is "partial 16S ribosomal RNA". It matches the Rfam family "Bacterial small subunit ribosomal RNA", at positions 335 to 581 of the family's 1533-position model. The record is from RNAcentral.